This 2040-nucleotide small RNA is filed under the name Pongo abelii (Sumatran orangutan). Its description in RNAcentral is "processed transcript". The record is from RNAcentral. Lineage: Eukaryota; Metazoa; Chordata; Mammalia; Primates; Hominidae.
CCUGCCUUUUAAGGAGGCCACGGGUUCCCAUGCAUUUCCCUGAACCUGCAGCCAGCUCCCCUCCAAGUUCACUGCCGUAGGAUUCCAGGUUUCAAGAAUUGUAGUGUGUUCCCUUCAAAGAGUGUGUAUAGUGAAUGGGUCACUGCUCAGGGUUCCAGCUACACAGGAGUGGGUUGUGGGGCCAAGGAAUGGAGAGGAACAGUGUCCGAAAGUCAGGAUGGUGUCUUGUGUCAUCUGCCCAGGGUCCACAGAGACCUUUAAUGACUCAAGAAUACAAACAAACCAAUACACUUAAAUGAAUCUUCUAUGUAGGAUUUGUUUCUUGACUAAAGAUUGGUCUCUCAUCAACUUCUAUUAUUUAACAAUGGGCUUUGAUUAUGUGAUUUAGAAAAUGACCAACUUUAAAAAAUAUUGUUCUAUGUAACACAAAAUAAGUCAGUUUAUGCUUUAUGUUAAUAUAUGUCAAUAUAUAAUUUUAAAAGGAAAGUAUUAACUGUGGUGUUUCGUGUCAUUUUUGGAAAAAAUGAGUUUUUCAAAAAACUUCAAAUGCUACUUUGCAUCUAAGCAUGUGUUUGUGUGUUAUAAAAGGUAGGCUAGCAUAACUAGGUCGUCUGUUGUGUAUAGCUACAGCAAGACAACUAUUACUGCUGUUUCAUAUUUUAAACCUUGAUGCUGGUAACGUGUGUUUCUUCCUUAUUGUGAAAGGGUGUUACAAGUGGUAUCAGCAAAACCAUUUGCUUUUGAACUCUGAGGUAUUUAUAUGGCCCCUAUGUGAAGAGUGCUUUGGAAAUGGUUUAAGCCCAGUCAACUCUCUUUUAUCUGUCAGUGGGUUCUGAGCCUUCCUGCUGCAGCUGUCCGGUCCUUUCCUGGAUGCUGACACUGAAGUUGGAGAAAGUCAAGGCUGGGCAUGUACUGGUGGGGGUGUGUGUAUGUGUGUGUGUUUUUCUCUCUCUCAUCAAAUUCCAAAGCCAAAUAGAAAUGAUUUCUGGAAUCAUCAUUGUAAAAUUGCCCAUGCCUUUUCUCUUCUCCAAAACAAAUAAUAGAGAGUUAAGUGUAAUUUAUUUCUAUUUUGAGCAGUUCAUUUUUACUCCAUUUUUACAAAUAAAGAAUUCUAGAGACGAGACACUGAGACUUGCCUAGCUUUAUCCUAAGAGUGAGUGACAGGUUACUCUUUCUACCUCAUUGGGCCACUUUCUGAGUGAUGACUGCUAUGUAUCCCAGGUGGCAAUAUUCACGUUUCUGAAUCUAAGCACUUUUCUUUCUUCUCUCCUUGCCCGAUCAGCUGGACGGCCAACCGCCAUGUGAUGUAAGCCUCCAUACGAAAGCACUGUUGCAGAUAGAAGAAGAGGUGGUUGCUGCUCGUGUAGAUCUAUAAAUAUGUGUUGUAUGUCUUUUUUGCUUUUUUUUUUUAAAAAAAAAGAAUAACUUUUUUGCCUCUUUAGAUUACAUAGAAGCAUUGUAGUCUUGGUAGAACCAGUAUUUUUGUUGUUUAUUUAUAAGGUAAUUGUGUGUGGGGAAAAGUGCAGUAUUUACCUGUUGAAUUCAGCAUCUUGAGAGCACAAGGGAAAAAAUAAGAACUUAAGAAUAUUUUUGAGGCAGAUAAUGAUCUAGUUUGACUUUCUAGUUAGCGGUGUUUUGAAGAGGGUAUUUUAUUGUUUUUUAAAAAAAGGUUCUUAAACAUUAUUUGAAAUAGUUAAUAUAAAUACAUAAUUGCAUUUGCUCUGUUUAUUGUAAUGUAUUCUAAAUUAAUACAGAACCAUAUGGAAAAUUUCAUAAAAAUCUAUCCCCAAAUGUGCUUUCUGUAUCCUUCCUUCUACCUAUGUAUUCUGAUUUUUAAAAAUGCAGUUAAUGUACCAUUUAUUUGCUUGAUGAAGGGAGCUCUAUUUUCUUUACCAGAAAUGUUGCUAAGUAAUUCCCAAUAGAAAGCUGCUUAUUUUCAUUAAUGAAAAAUAACCAUGGUUUGUAUACUAGAAGUCUUCUUCAGAAACUGGUGAGCCUUUCUGUUCAAUUGCAUUUGUAAAUAAACUUGCUGAUGCAUUU